This 321-nucleotide ribosomal RNA is filed under the name uncultured Pseudomonadota bacterium. RNAcentral's name for it is "bacterial SSU rRNA". It matches the Rfam family "Bacterial small subunit ribosomal RNA", at positions 30 to 351 of the family's 1533-position model. Lineage: Bacteria; Pseudomonadati; Pseudomonadota. The record is from RNAcentral.
AUUGAACGCUGGCGGAAUGCUUUACACAUGCAAGUCGAACGGCAGCACGGACUUCGGUCUGGUGGCGAGUGGCGAACGGGUGAGUAACAUAUCGGAACGUGCCCAAUCGUGGGGGAUAACGUAGCGAAAGCUACGCUAAUACCGCAUACGAUCUACGGAUGAAAGCAGGGGAUCGCAAGACCUUGCGCGAAUGGAGCGGCCGAUGGCAGAUUAGGUAGUUGGUGGGGUAAAGGCUCACCAAGCCUUCGAUCUGUAGCUGGUCUGAGAGGACGACCAGCCACACUGGGACUGAGACACGGCCCAGACUCCUACGGGAGGCUG